AUGCAGUCGAGCGGUAAGGCCCUUCGGGGUACACGAGCGGCGAACGGGUGAGUAACACGUGAGCAACCUGCCCCUGACUCCGGGAUAAGCGGUGGAAACGCCGUCUAAUACCGGAUACGACCCUCCUCCGCAUGGUGGGGGGUGGAAAGUUUUUUCGGUCGGGGAUGGGCUCGCGGCCUAUCAGCUUGUUGGUGGGGUAACGGCCUACCAAGGCGAUUACGGGUAGCCGGCCUGAGAGGGCGACCGGCCACACUGGGACUGAGACACGGCCCAGACUCCUGCGGGAGGCAGCAGUGGGGAAUAUUGCGCAAUGGGCGAAAGCCUGACGCAGCGACGCCGCGUGGGGGAUGACGGCCUUCGGGUUGUAAACCUCUUUUACCACUCACGCAGGCCCCGCGUUCUCGCGGGGUUGACGGUAGGUGGGGAAUAAGGACCGGCUAACUACGUGCCAGCAGCCGCGGUAAUACGUAGGGUCCGAGCGUUGUCCGGAAUUAUUGGGCGUAAAGAGCUCGUAGGCGGCGUGUCGCGUCUGCUGUGAAAGACCGGGGCUUAACCCCGGUUCUGCAGUGGAUACGGGCAUGCUAGAGGUAGGUAGGGGAGACUGGAAUUCCUGGUGUAGCGGUGAAAUGCGCAGAUAUCAGGAGGAACACCGGUGGCGAAGGCGGGUCUCUGGGCCUUACCU
Molecule: ribosomal RNA, 682 nt
Filed under: Nocardiopsis sp. ZoA 1
Lineage: Bacteria; Bacillati; Actinomycetota; Actinomycetes; Streptosporangiales; Nocardiopsidaceae
Description: bacterial SSU rRNA
Rfam family: Bacterial small subunit ribosomal RNA
Source: RNAcentral